RNAcentral lists this ribosomal RNA (253 nucleotides) under uncultured bacterium. RNAcentral describes it as "partial 16S ribosomal RNA". It matches the Rfam family "Bacterial small subunit ribosomal RNA", at positions 524 to 776 of the family's 1533-position model. The record is from RNAcentral.
UACGUAGGGUGCGAGCGUUAAUCGGAAUUACUGGGCGUAAAGCGUGCGCAGGCGGUUCGUUAAGUCAGAUGUGAAAGCCCCGGGCUCAACCUGGGAACUGCAUUUGAAACUGGCGGGCUUGAGUGUGGCAGAGGGGGGUGGAAUUCCGCGUGUAGCAGUGAAAUGCGUAGAUAUCAGAAAGAACACCAGUGGCGAAGGCGAUCCUCUGGUCCAUUAUUGACGCUAAAGCACGAAAGCGUGGGGAGCAAACAGG